GGAACUGAUAGCAAAAUUCCUUGAACUUUGCAUGGGGAUAAUAAAAUAUGAGCUGUACAACAGAUGAUGGUAAUUCAAAUACUGCGUUCUUUCAGAAAGAGAUGAUCAUAGCCAGUGGCAUACCAGUUUCCCCUUUCUAAACAUUAUCAGGAGAUGGUAAUCAGGUAAAAGAACAGUGAUUGCAUCAGAUGUCAGACAGGAACUGGCUAUUAUAAAGGAGAGAGCAAGAUGGGGAGAGGAAAUAGAAGAAAGAAAAGGUCGCUGCAGAGUGGAGAGUUGUCAUUAGCAGAAAAGCAGCAGGGUGAACUCAACCUGCCAAAAAAGGUUGUAUUUCGAAUUCAAAGACAAACUCAAGUUAUGAGAGAAACGAGUGAGGUCAUUUAGUAUUCUUACAACUGCCUAGGUUCUGCACUGUCUCAAAUGAAGGUUGGCGUGUGUAAGAAACCAAUAAAAAUGAGAACACUUGCACUGCUGGGGAGCGGCAUGGGCAGAGGGCCCUGGCGGGAGGCGAGGGGUGAGAGGCGGGUGGUGCUGGGCAGGCAGGGCUGUGCCAUCACCCCAUGGAGCACUCCUUCCCUGCCACGGCACCACGGGCAGAGCUGUCCCAGGUAGCUGGGCUCAGACAGCCCCGACAGACUGACAAAUCUGCAGUGACCGGGCAGGCCCAAGCUCAGGCCGACACGGCUGGCCCACAGGUGGGAUCCACGGUCAGGUACUGGCCCCAGGGCCUCAGCUUAGAGCAGCUCCCAGGGAAAUUGGGCUCAGCCCUGACUGAGGCAUCUUCUAGUCACAAAAAACCUCUGUGCCAAAGAGGUAUGGUCUGGAGAUGUGAACUGGCGAUUGGCAACGGGACCAAAGUUUCCCAGGUUGCCUAAUAAGUCUUCAUGAAAUACCUGAACCAUUACCCUUUUAGUCUUUGAAAGGAUGCUAUAAGCGAAACUAUUAGAUCCAGCCUUUCAGGUGCCACACUCAAGACUUAUAACUCACAAUGCAGUAUUAUGUGAAAGAAGCAAUGGAGCUGCUAGCAGGAAUGGCAUAAAGAAUUGGCGUGCUUUUAUUUUUUAAUACUAUAAAAAUGAUCAAACUCUGGGAC
Molecule: long non-coding RNA, 1093 nt
Filed under: Anser brachyrhynchus (Pink-footed goose)
Lineage: Eukaryota; Metazoa; Chordata; Aves; Anseriformes; Anatidae
Description: lncRNA (ENSABRG00000017714.1)
Source: RNAcentral